Molecule: transfer RNA, 73 nt
Filed under: Cordylochernes scorpioides
Lineage: Eukaryota; Metazoa; Arthropoda; Arachnida; Pseudoscorpiones; Chernetidae
Description: tRNA-Phe
Source: RNAcentral
UUCCGAAAUCUGGGAUUGAACCAGGGACCUUUAGAUCUUCAGUCUAACGCUCUCUCAACUGAGCUAUUUCGGC